This 575-nucleotide ribosomal RNA is filed under the name uncultured eukaryote. Its description in RNAcentral is "SSU rRNA". It matches the Rfam family "Eukaryotic small subunit ribosomal RNA", at positions 568 to 1149 of the family's 1831-position model. The record is from RNAcentral.
CAGCCGCCGCGGUAUUCCAGCUCCAAUAGCGUAUAUUAAAGUUGUUGCAGUUAAAAAGCUCGUAGUUGAACCUUGGGUCUGGCUGGUCGGUCCGCCUCACCGCGAGUACUGAUCCGGCUGGACCUUUCCUUCUGGGGAACCUCAUGGCCUUCACUGGCUGUGGGGGGAACCAGGACUUUUACUGAUGAAAAAAUUAGAGUGUUCAAAGCAGGCCUUUGCUCGAAUACAUUAGCAUGGAAUAAUAGAAUAGGACGUGUGGUUCUAUUUUGUUGGUUUCUAGGACCGCCGUAAUGAUUAAUAGGGAUAGUCGGGGGCGUCAGUAUUCAGCUGUCAGAGGUGAAAUUCUUGGAUUUGCUGAAGACUAACUACUGCGAAAGCAUUCGCCAAGGAUGUUUUCAUUAAUCAGGGAACGAAAGUUAGGGGAUCGAAGACGAUCAGAUACCGUCGUAGUCUUAACCAUAAACUAUGCCGACUGGGGAUCGGACAGGAUUCUAUAAUGACCUGUUCGGCACCUUACGAGAAAUCAAAGUUUAUGGGUUCUGGGGGGAGUAUGGUCGCAAGGCUGAAACUUAAAG